AGAGCACUCCUACGGGAGGCAGCAGUGGGGAAUCUUAGACAAUGGGGGAAACCCUGAUCUAGCCAUGCCGCGUGAGUGAUGAAGGCCCUAGGGUCGUAAAGCUCUUUCAGCUGUGAAGAUAAUGACGGUAGCAGCAGAAGAAACCCCGGCUAACUCCGUGCCAGCAGCCGCGGUAAUACGGAGGGGGUUAGCGUUGUUCGGAAUUACUGGGCGUAAAGCGCGCGUAGGCGGAUUAGUCAGUCAGAGGUGAAAUCCCGGGGCUCAACCCCGGAACUGCCUUUGAUACUGCUAGUCUUGAGUUCGAGAGAGGUGAGUGGAAUUCCGAGUGUAGAGGUGAAAUUCGUAGAUAUUCGGAGGAACACCAGUGGCGAAGGCGGCUCACUGGCUCGAUACUGACGCUGAGGUGCGAAAGUGUGGGGAGCAAACAGGAUUAGAUACCCUGGUAG
Molecule: ribosomal RNA, 446 nt
Filed under: uncultured bacterium
Lineage: Bacteria
Description: bacterial SSU rRNA
Rfam family: Bacterial small subunit ribosomal RNA
Source: RNAcentral